UGAGCAACCUGCCCUUGACCCCGGAAUAACAGCUGGAAACAGCUGCUAAUACCGGAUACGACUCCUUGCGACAUCGCUUGGAGUGGAAAGCUCCGACGGUCAAGGAUGGGCUCGCGGCCUAUCAGCUUGUUGGUGAGGUAAUGGCUCACCAAGGCGACGACGGGUAGCCGGCCUGAGAGGGUGACCGGCCACACUGGGACUGAGACACGGCCCAGACUCCUACGGGAGCAG
RNAcentral lists this ribosomal RNA (231 nucleotides) under uncultured bacterium. RNAcentral describes it as "partial 16S ribosomal RNA". It matches the Rfam family "Bacterial small subunit ribosomal RNA", at positions 118 to 347 of the family's 1533-position model. The record is from RNAcentral.